UAAGAAAAAGCCAAACCUGUUGAGAAGCAGGGACGGAAAGCUACGGGUCUUAAUGAGAUAGCCGAGUUGCACAUU
Molecule: non-coding RNA, 75 nt
Filed under: Desulfamplus magnetovallimortis
Lineage: Bacteria; Pseudomonadati; Thermodesulfobacteriota; Desulfobacteria; Desulfobacterales; Desulfobacteraceae
Description: c-di-GMP sequence
Rfam family: c-di-GMP-I-GGC riboswitch aptamer
Source: Rfam by way of RNAcentral